RNAcentral lists this ribosomal RNA (432 nucleotides) under uncultured bacterium. Its description in RNAcentral is "partial 16S ribosomal RNA". It matches the Rfam family "Bacterial small subunit ribosomal RNA", at positions 29 to 506 of the family's 1533-position model. The record is from RNAcentral.
AACGAACGCUGGCGGCAUGCCUAACACAUGCAAGUCGAACGAGACCUUCGGGUCUAGUGGCGCACGGGUGCGUAACGCGUGGGAACCUGCCCUUAGGUUCGGAAUAACUCCCCGAAAGGGGUGCUAAUACCGGAUAAUGUUUUCGGACCAAAGAUUUAUCGCCUUUGGAUGGGCCCGCGUUGGGUUAGCUAGUUGGUAGGGUAAAAGCCUACCAAGGCGACGAUCCAUAGCUGGUCUGAGAGGAUGAUCAGCCACACUGGGACUGAGACACGGCCCAGACUCCUACGGGAGGCAGCAGUGGGGAAUAUUGGACAAGGGGCGAAAGCCUGAUCCAGCAAGGCCGCGUGAGUGAUGAAGGCCUUAGGGUUGUAAAGCUCUUUUACCCGGGAUGAUAAUGACAGUACCGGGAGAAUAAGCUCCGGCAAACUCCUU